RNAcentral lists this ribosomal RNA (497 nucleotides) under uncultured bacterium. Its description in RNAcentral is "partial 16S ribosomal RNA". It matches the Rfam family "Bacterial small subunit ribosomal RNA", at positions 28 to 507 of the family's 1533-position model. The record is from RNAcentral.
GACGAACGCUGGCGGCGUGCCUAAUACAUGCCAGUAGAACGCUGAAACUUGGUGCUUGCACCGAGCGGAUGAGUUGCGAACGGGUGAGUAACGCGUAGGUAACCUGCCUGGUAGCGGGGGAUAACUAUUGGAAACGAUAGCUAAUACCGCAUAAGAGUAGAUGUUGCAUGACAUUUGCUUAAAAGGUGCAAUUGCACCACUACCAGAUGGACCUGCGUUGUAUUAGCUAGUUGGUGGGGUAACGGCUCACCAAGGCGACGAUACAUAGCCGACCUGAGAGGGUGAUCGGCCACACUGGGACUGAGACACGGCCCAGACUCCUACGGGAGGCAGCAGUAGGGAAUCUUCGGCAAUGGACGGAAGUCUGACCGAGCAACGCCGCGUGAGUGAAGAAGGGUUUCGGAUCGUAAAGCUCUGUUGUAAGAGAAGAACGAGUGUGAGAGUGGAAAGUUCACACUGUGACGGUAUCUUACCAGAAAGGGACGGCUAACUACGUG